Molecule: ribosomal RNA, 244 nt
Filed under: uncultured Staphylococcus sp.
Lineage: Bacteria; Bacillati; Bacillota; Bacilli; Caryophanales; Staphylococcaceae
Description: partial 16S ribosomal RNA
Rfam family: Bacterial small subunit ribosomal RNA
Source: RNAcentral
CGGCGGACGGGUGAGUAACACGUGGAUAACCUACCUAUAAGACUGGGAUAACUUCGGGAAACCGGAGCUAAUACCGGAUAAUAUAUUGAACCGCAUGGUUAAAUAGUGAAAGACGGUUUUGCUGUCACUUAUAGAUGGAUCCGCGCCGCAUUAGCUAGUUGGUAAGGUAACGGCUUACCAAGGCAACGAUGCGUAGCCGACCUGAGAGGGUGAUCGGCCACACUGGAACUGAGACACGGUCCAG